This 673-nucleotide ribosomal RNA is filed under the name Dinophysis acuminata. Its description in RNAcentral is "partial Bacterial large subunit ribosomal RNA". It matches the Rfam family "Bacterial large subunit ribosomal RNA", at positions 1294 to 1959 of the family's 2925-position model. Lineage: Eukaryota; Dinophyceae; Dinophysales; Dinophysaceae. The record is from RNAcentral.
AUGCUGACAUGAGUAACGAUAAGGGGGGUAAAAACCCCCCCCGCCGAAAGAUCAAGGUUUCCUGUCCAACGUUAAUCGGGACAGGGUGAGUCGGCACCUAAGGCGAGGGCGAAGGCCGUAGUCGAUGGAAAAUCGGUUAAAAUUCCGAUACCGAUUCUUACUGCGAUGGAGGGACGGAGCAGGCUAGGCUAGCACGGCGUUGGUAGUCCGUGUUUAAGCGUGUAGGUAGGGGGAUUAGGUAAAUCCGGUUCCUCGUUAAUCUGAGACGUGAUGACGAUCUCUUGGGGCGACCCUUGAGAGAAGUAGUUGAUGCCAUACUUCCAGGAAAAUCUUCUAAGCUUCAGGUAAGAAUUGACCGUACUGUAAACCGACACAGGUGAUCAGGUAGAGAAUACCAAGGCGCUUGAGAGAACUAUGUUGAAGGAACUCGGCAAAAUACCUCCGUAAGUUCGCGAGAAGGAGGCCCGUUCAGAAGGCAACUUUUGGGCGGGGGCACAAACCAGGGGGUGGCGACUGUUUACUAAAAACACAGGUCCGUGCGAAGUCGUAAGACGAUGUAUACGGACUGACUCCUGCCCGGUGCUGGAAGGUUAAGGGGGGGCGUUAUCGUAAGAGAAGCGCUGAACUGAAGCCCCAGUAAACGGCGGCCGUAACUAUAACGGUCCUAAGGUAG